CCUACGGGUGGCAGCAGUGAGGAAUAUUGGUCAAUGGACGAGAGUCUGAACCAGCCAAGUAGCGUGAAGGAUGACUGCCCUAUGGGUUGUAAACUUCUUUUAUAAAGGAAUAAAACGAGGCACGUGUGCCUUUUUGCAUGUACUUUAUGAAUAAGGAUCGGCUAACUCCGUGCCAGCAGCCGCGGUAAUACGGAGGAUCCGAGCGUUAUCCGGAUUUAUUGGGUUUAAAGGGAGCGUAGAUGGGUUGUUAAGUCAGUUGUGAAAGUUUGCGGCUCAACCGUAAAAUUGCAAUUGAUACUGGCAGUCGUGAGUACAGUUGAGGUAGGCGGAAUUCGGGGUGUAGCGGUGAAAUGCUUAGAUAUCACGAAGAACCCCGAUUGCGAAGGCAGCUUACUAAACUGUGACUGACAUUGAUGCUCGAAAGUGUGGGUAUCAAACAGGAUUAGAUACCCCUGUAGUC
This 460-nucleotide ribosomal RNA is filed under the name uncultured bacterium. RNAcentral's name for it is "partial 16S ribosomal RNA". It matches the Rfam family "Bacterial small subunit ribosomal RNA", at positions 338 to 795 of the family's 1533-position model. The record is from RNAcentral.